UAGCGGCAGGCCUAACACAUGCGAGUCGAGGGGUAAGGUUCAGCUUGCUGAAUAGCGACCGGCGCACGGGUUGAGUAACACGUUUGCAAGCUUCCUCUAACUGGAGAAUAGCCCGAAGAAAUUCGUGAUUAAUACUCCAUAAAGUCAAUUUAAGGCAUCUUUUAUUGAUUAAAGCUCCGGCGGUUAGAGAUGGGCAUGCGUGUCAUUAGCUAGUUGGUGAGGUAACGGCUCACCAAGGCCACGAUGACUAGGGGGUCUGAGAGGAUGAUCCCCCACACUGGUACUGAGACACGGACCAGACUCCUACGGGAGGCAGCAGUGAGGAAUAUUGGGCAAUGGACGCAAGUCUGACCCAGCCAUGCCGCGUGCAGGAUGACUGCCCUAUGGGUUGUAACUGCUUUUGUUUGGGAAGAAACCCCCGAUCGUGAUCGGGGCUGACGGUACCAUACGAAUAAGCAUCGGCUAACUCCGUGCCAGCAGCCGCGGUAAUACGGAGGAUGCAAGCGUUAUCCGGAUUCAUUGGGUUUAAAGGGUGCGCAGGCGGAAUAUUAAGUCAGUGGUGAAAUCCUGCAGCUUAACUGUAGAACUGCCAUUGAUACUGAUAUUCUUGAAUAUAGUUGAGGUGGGCGGAAUGUGUAAUGUAGCGGUGAAAUGCUUAGAUAUUACACAGAACACCAAUUGCGAAGGCAGCUCACUAAACUAAUAUUGACGCUGAGGCACGAAAGCGUGGGUAGCAAACAGGAUUAGAUACCCUGGUAGUCCACGCUGUAAACUAUGAUCACUCGCUGUUGGCAAUACAUCGUCAGCGGCUGAGCGAAAGCG
RNAcentral lists this ribosomal RNA (822 nucleotides) under uncultured organism. RNAcentral's name for it is "bacterial SSU rRNA". It matches the Rfam family "Bacterial small subunit ribosomal RNA", at positions 37 to 859 of the family's 1533-position model. The record is from RNAcentral.